This 253-nucleotide ribosomal RNA is filed under the name uncultured bacterium. Its description in RNAcentral is "partial 16S ribosomal RNA". It matches the Rfam family "Bacterial small subunit ribosomal RNA", at positions 524 to 776 of the family's 1533-position model. The record is from RNAcentral.
UACGGGGGGGGCAAGCGUUGUUCGGAAUUACUGGGCGUAAAGGGUUCGUAGGUGGCCAACUAAGUCAGACGUGAAAUCCCUCAGCUCAACUGGGGAACUGCGUCUGAUACUGGUUGGCUUGAGUGCAGGAGAGGAACGCGGAAUUCCAGGUGUAGCGGUGAAAUGCGCAGAUAUCAGGAGGAACACCUAUGGCGAAGGCAGCUCGCUGGGACGGUACUGACGCUGAGGCGCGAAAGCGUGGGGAGCAAACAGG